GUAAGGAAUAUUGGGCAAUGGGCGCAAGCCUGACCCAGCCAUGCCGCGUGAAGGAUGACGGCCCUAUGGGUUGUAAACUUCUUUUGUACGGGAAAAAACCACCGGUCGUGACCGGUGCUGAUGGUACCGUAAGAAUAAGCAUCGGCUAACUCCGUGCCAGCAGCCGCGGUAAUACGGAGGAUGCAAGCGUUAUCCGGAUUCAUUGGGUUUAAAGGGUGCGCAGGCGGAAUAAUAAGUCAGUGGUGAAAUCCUACGGCUCAACUGUAGAACUGCCAUUGAUACUGUUAUUCUUGAGUACACUUGAAGUGGGCGGAAUGUGUCAUGUAGCGGUGAAAUGCUUAGAUAUGACACAGAACACCGAUCGCGAAGGCAGCUCACUAAAUUGUAACUGACGCUCAUGCACGAAAGCGUGGGGAUCAAACAGGAUUAGAAACCCUAGUAGUCC
This 445-nucleotide ribosomal RNA is filed under the name uncultured bacterium. RNAcentral's name for it is "partial 16S ribosomal RNA". It matches the Rfam family "Bacterial small subunit ribosomal RNA", at positions 354 to 796 of the family's 1533-position model. The record is from RNAcentral.